UACAGAGGUGGCAAGCGUUGUUCGGAAUUACUGGGCGUAAAGGGCGCGUAGGCGGCCACCGCAAGUCGACUGUGAAAUCUCCGAGCUUAACUCGGAAAGGUCAACUGAAACUGUGCGACUAGAGUGCGGAAGGGGCAACUGGAAUUCUUGGUGUAGCGGUGAAAUGCGUAGAUAUCAAGAGGAACACCUGCGGCGAAGGCGGGUUGCUGGGCCGACACUGACGCUGAAGCGCGAAAGCCAGGGGAGCGAACGGG
Molecule: ribosomal RNA, 254 nt
Filed under: uncultured bacterium
Lineage: Bacteria
Description: partial 16S ribosomal RNA
Rfam family: Bacterial small subunit ribosomal RNA
Source: RNAcentral